Cydia fagiglandana is the source of this 1692-nucleotide long non-coding RNA. RefSeq lists it as uncharacterized. The transcript is spliced from 3 exons. Lineage: Eukaryota; Metazoa; Arthropoda; Insecta; Lepidoptera; Tortricidae. The record is from RefSeq and is a predicted model, not a curated record.
CAAUUGCUUAGAAGCCAUGGUGGAAACAUGUCUACCGGGCUCCGAGCAUGCUCAGGCGCGCGCUCCACCACCAGUCCCUGACCGGCAGGAUACUUCAGGGUCAUCGCACCGCCCGCCACCAUCGCUAUACUGCUCAGCGCAGGACCCUUAGCAGAACGAGAUUUUCUGUAAUGAAACGACGGUGUUAUAACUUACAAUUAUAACACUAUUAACGGAGCCAACAUUUAACCUAGUUUAAAACCCACAAUCAAACUUGAUUUAAAUAGUACCUUAUUUAGUAUUUAGGUUUUAAAAUGUGCUCUAAAGGCCAGAGCACAUCGUAUGCGUGCGUGUGACGUGCACGUGUGCAAAUAGUUACAGCCGCAGGGCUCGGAACCGGUAUUUUUUUAAAACCCCGAAUUAGCCCAACAUUUUGAAUUAUUUUAUGCUCUUUACGUGGGACUGAAUCAUGUAUUAAGGUAACAACUUUGUGUUAUUAGAUUGUCCCAUUAAAAAUGAAAUAAUAAACCAAAGAACGAAAAAGAACGUAAUAAUACCGGUAUUUUUGUAUGGAGCAAAUACCGGUUUCCGACCCCUGUACAGCCGUGCUCAAGCGGUGUGCCGUCCAGGGCUCGGAACCGGUAUUGAAAUACCCGUUAACUUCGUUCCAAAACCGUUAUAUUAUUACGUUCAUUAAAAAACCGGUUAAUUGAUGGAACGCGAACUAAAAAAAUAUGUUCUCUCUCCUAACCGGUAAGAAGAGGGAACAGAACUUUAUGGUUCGCAGGGAACGAUAUAAUACCGGUUACUCUUGGCUUUCGGAGACUCUCGGUUAGACUCGUUGUCAUACGUGAAAGAGAUAGCAACACUCACUCGUUCCGUCUCGCUUCGAUAUUUUCAAUUUAAUCGGUUAAUUUCGUUCCACAAAAACAGAAAGCUAACGAAUUAGGCUUAAAUUAGUAUCUUAAUAGAACAGUUCUUUAACCGGUAACCGCGAACGGAAACGAAAUCCUUUUCGUUCCCGGGUGAAUGAACGAAACCGGUCUGAAAAAUAAAACGGUUUUCGAGCCCUGGUGCCGUCUCUCAUACGUAUGUGUGUAUACAAUGCGCACGAGCGUGUCUCCUCACACGCACCUUGUGCACUGUAUGUAUGUAUGUAAAAAAAGAGGUUUGCACUCCGGGAGUGCCGGCAGAAGUGAAACUCAAUGACAUUGUAACAGUUUUUCGAUCAUGUCACGUGUCCGUCUUACGAAGCAUUUUACGUCUUACGCUCUCGCGAGUUUAACAUUUAUUCCCCAUCACAAAAAGUGCACAGCGCCGCUAAAGAAGUUUUCACUUCAACAAGUUGUUUUUAAGUAUGUACGAAAAUAAUGAAAAUCCUAUUGUAAUUUUAAAUUGCGUCACAUAUAGAUAGAUGUUUUACAAACUAAGCGUAAGCGCACAUUAAAAAUUGUCUUACUUUUUUUGAUCUUGAAUUACGUUUUGCAGUUUAAGCACAAAGAUGUGUGAGGCGCACAGAAACGGUCACCAGAUACUGGAGCGUAAUAAGUUUUAUUAGGAAUAUUAGGAUAAAUGCACAAAAUAUAAAAUAGUGAUCUCACUUACUAUAAAAAUUGAACUUAUUAAAAUGCAUUUAAUAUUCAGAUCAAAUGAACAAAUUGAAAGAUCAGAACAAAUAUAUCUAGGAAUUAUAUCCUUCCUAUACAAAGCUAG